CAGUAGCCGCGGUAAUACGUAGGGUGCGAGCGUUAAUCGGAAUUACUGGGCGUAAAGCGUGCGCAGGCGGUUCGUUAAGACAGAUGUGAAAUCCCCGGGCUUAACCUGGGAACUGCAUUUGUGACUGGCGAGCUAGAGUAUGGCAGAAGGGGGUAGAAUUCCACGUGUAGCAGUGAAAUGCGUAGAGAUGUGGAGGAAUACCGAUGGCGAAGGCAGCCCCCUGGGCCAAUACUGACGCUCAUGCACGAAAGCGUGGGGAGCAAACAGGAUUAGAUACCCCAGUAGUCCCUGUCUCUUAUAU
Molecule: ribosomal RNA, 301 nt
Filed under: uncultured bacterium
Lineage: Bacteria
Description: partial 16S ribosomal RNA
Rfam family: Bacterial small subunit ribosomal RNA
Source: RNAcentral